Molecule: microRNA precursor, 61 nt
Filed under: Petromyzon marinus (sea lamprey)
Lineage: Eukaryota; Metazoa; Chordata; Hyperoartia; Petromyzontiformes; Petromyzontidae
Description: Pma-Mir-130-P2o2_pre stem-loop
Rfam family: mir-301 microRNA precursor family
Source: RNAcentral
GCUCUGACACCAUUGCACUACUGUACGCAAUGGUGAGCAGUGCAAUUGUAUUGUCAAAGCU